GACGAACGCUGGCGGCGUGCUUAACACAUGCAAGUCGAACGGAAAGGCCCUGCUUUUGUGGGGUUCUCGAGUGGCGAACGGGUGAGUAACACGUGUGUAACCUGCCCUUGACUUUGGGAUAACUUCAGGAAACUGGGGCUAAUACCGUAUAGGAUCUCCUGCUGCAUGGUGGGGGUUGGAACGUUUCGGCGGUUGGGGAUGGACUCGCGGCUUAUCAGCUUGUUGGUGGGGUAGUGGCUUACCAAGGCUUUGACGGGUAGCCGGCCUGAGAGGGUGACCGGCCACAUUGGGACUGAGAUACGGCCCAGACUCCUACGGGAGGCAGCAGUGGGGAAUAUUGCACAAUGGGCGGAAGCCUGAUGCAGCAACGCCGCGUGCGGGAUGACGGCCUUCGGGUUGUAAACCGCUUUCGCCUGUGACGAAGCGUGAGUGACGGUAAUGGGUAAAGAAGCACCGGCUAACUACGUG
RNAcentral lists this ribosomal RNA (468 nucleotides) under uncultured bacterium. RNAcentral describes it as "partial 16S ribosomal RNA". It matches the Rfam family "Bacterial small subunit ribosomal RNA", at positions 28 to 507 of the family's 1533-position model. The record is from RNAcentral.